This is a long non-coding RNA of Callithrix jacchus (white-tufted-ear marmoset), 2146 nucleotides long. The record is from Ensembl. Lineage: Eukaryota; Metazoa; Chordata; Mammalia; Primates; Cebidae.
CUUGGGUCAGGGAUCUCUUUAAGCUAAAUUUUCAUAUUGUGGCUUUGCAGAAAUCAUGCAAGUACUGUGAAUUCCAGACCCAAACCCAUUUUGUUGUGAGAUUGUAGUUAAUAAUUUUGCAGAAAAGAUUGACCCACUCCAAUCAAUUUACCAGAGACAAGGGAAAAAUAGCCAGGCGACUAUUACUACUUGCUUUCUCUAUGAGGGAGGGAGGCUGGAGAGGCUCUAUUUUACUCACUGUAGAUGUGAGAAUCUCAGCGUUGAAAGUCAUGAUUCUCUUGCUCAAUCUCCUAUGUGUCCCUCCUGACUUGGGCCCAGACAUUCUCCAGGCCCUGGUGCUUGGCCAGUUGAUUUUCUCCAGAUUUUUCUGUAAGCUCUGCCAGCAGAGCCAGUGCCUGGCUGUUAGAAUUAACACCAGCAACCAAACAAAACUCUGGAAGUUUUUCAUGGGAAAGAAGCUACAUCUGAAGAAAACAUUUUGUCUGUGACCAACAUGAAGAGGUCAGUUUCUCUGGUUUCUGCUUCUAUUAACAUUGUAUUAGUGUCUAGCAACAUCUCUAGAGACACUUAAGGUUACUUGGAUUCCACAAGUGACAGAACAAAUAUAGCCAUCCUUAAAGGUCAAGCAAUCCACUCAGAAAUAUGUGGCCAUCUUGUCACUGAGAAGCAUCCAUGUAGAUGGUAAGUGGCCUCAUUGGUGUAUAUGGGUAUUUAGUAUGUGUGCAUAUAUGCACACACAUGUGCUAUGGUGUGUGUGUGCAUGAAUGCAUACAUACAUGCACAUGCACUUAAUACCCAUAAGUAUUAGGGUACUUAUGGGUAUUAAGUAUUAGGGUACUUAUGGGUAUUAAAUAUUAAUUUGUGUUUAAACUCACAAUUUAAACACACAGUUUAAUAUUACAGUUGUUUUCUCUGGAACCACAUAUUUAGAAACUACUAGUGAUAUGGUUUGGUUGUGUUUCCAGCCAGAUCUCACCUUGAAUUGGAAUAAUCCCUACAUGUCAAGGGCAAGGCCAGGUGGGGGUAAUUGAAUCAUGGGGGUGGGUUCCUCCAUACUGUUCUCCUGGUAGUGAAUAAGUCUCAUGAGAUCUAACAGUUUUAUAAAUGGGAGUUCCCCUGCACAAGCUCUCUUGCCUGCCACCAUGUAAGAUGUGACUUUGUUCCUUGUUCACCUUCUGCCAUGAUGUGAGGCCUUCCCAGCCAUGUGGAACUGUGAGUUAACUAAAUCUCUUUCCUUUAUAAACUACCCAGUGUCAAGUAUGUCUUUAUUAGCAGUAUGAGAACAGGCUAAUUCAACUAGUUAUUUUCAGUGUUCAGAAAUGAAAUUUUCUUAGCAUGAUAGUAUAAUAUAGAGAAGUUUAUCUUGUACUGUAACAUCUGAUGUGAGGUUAUUGAUGUUUUCACCACUUAUACCUAGAAACAUCUUUAUUGCCUACCAAUUUGCCUACAUCUACCUAAUACGAGGACAGCAAGAGCAGAACUGGCUCAGGAGACAGUGACUUGGUCUUUACCUGAAAUUCGUUACUGAGUGGGUGUGUUUCCUGAACCAGGUACUUAACUGCUCUGGAUUUUAGUUUCUAAUUCUUUAAGAGAUUUAGAGGCCAGGUGCCAUGGCUCAUGCCUUAAUCUCAGCACUUUGGGAGGCCAAGGCAGGCAGAUUACCUGAGGUCAGGAGCAGAAGACCAGCCUGGCCAACAUGGUGAAAUCCCAUCUCUACUAAAAAUACAAAGAGUUGGCUGGGUGCAGUGGUGUGCGUGUGUAAUCCCAGCUACUUGGGAGUCUGAGGCAAGAGAAUCACUUGAACCCAGGAGGCAGUGGUUGCGAUGAGCUGAGAUUGCACCACUGUACUCCGGCCUGGGCGACAGAGUGAGACUUUGUUUCAAAAAGAAAAAAAAGGAGAGAUUUUGAGCCAUAUGAUAUCUUAUUCCUCUUAUCAUCCUUUGGUUCCAUAGAUCAUUAUAGAGUCUGCAGGGAAUAAGGGUCUUUCUCUUAAGUUAUGCAAGCCGUAGAACUGGUAAUCAUUUUUUGGAACAACAUAUGAAUAUAGAAGACAUCAUCAUAUGUUAAUUUAUAAAAACUCUUCGGCAAUCUAGGCAUGGGCUGACUGACAUGGUUUCCUUGCCUCUAUCCUGGUUUUCUUCUUUCA